GACGAACGCUGGCGGCGUGCUUAACACAUGCAAGUCGAACGGAAAGGCCCUGCUUUUGUGGGGUGCUCGAGUGGCGAACGGGUGAGUAACACGUGAGUAACCUGCCCUUGACUUUGGGAUAACUUCAGGAAACUGGGGCUAAUACCGGAUAGGAGCUCCUGCUGCAUGGUGGGGGUUGGAAAGUUUCGGCGGUUGGGGAUGGACUCGCGGCUUAUCAGCUUGUUGGUGGGGUAGUGGCUUACCAAGGCUUUGACGGGUAGCCGGCCUGAGAGGGUGACCGGCCCCAUUGGGACUGAGAUACGGCCCAGACUACUACGGGAGGCAGCAGUGGGGAAUAUUGCACAAUGGGCGGAAGCCUGAUGCAGCAACGCCGCGUGCGGGAUGACGGCCUUCGGGUUGUAAACCGCUUUCGCCUGUGACGAAGCGUGAGUGACGGUAAUGGGUAAAGAAGCACCGGCUAACUACGUG
This 468-nucleotide ribosomal RNA is filed under the name uncultured bacterium. RNAcentral's name for it is "partial 16S ribosomal RNA". It matches the Rfam family "Bacterial small subunit ribosomal RNA", at positions 28 to 507 of the family's 1533-position model. The record is from RNAcentral.